AGUGAACGCUGGCGGUAGGCCUAACACAUGCAAGUCGAACGGCAGCACAGUAAGAGCUUGCUCUUACGGGAGGCGAGUGGCGGACGGGUGAGGAAUACAUCGGAAUCUACUUUUUCGUGGGGGAUAACGUAGGGAAACUUACGCUAAUACCGCAUACGACCUACGGGUGAAAGCAGGGGAUCUUCGGACCUUGCGCGAUUGAAUGAGCCGAUGUCGGAUUAGCUAGUUGGCGGGGUAAAGGCCCACCAAGGCGACGAUCCGUAGCUGGUCUGAGAGGAUGAUCAGCCACACUGGAACUGGAACACGGUCCAGACUCCUACGGGAGGCAGCAGUGGGGAAUAUUGGACAAUGGGCGCAAGCCUGAUCCAGCCAUACCGCGUGGGUGAAGAAGGCCUUCGGGUUGUAAAGCCCUUUUGUUGGGAAAGAAAAGCAGCAGGUUAAUACCCCGCUGUUCUGACGGUACCCAAAGAAUAAGCACCGGCUAACUUCGUG
This 492-nucleotide ribosomal RNA is filed under the name uncultured bacterium. RNAcentral describes it as "partial 16S ribosomal RNA". It matches the Rfam family "Bacterial small subunit ribosomal RNA", at positions 29 to 507 of the family's 1533-position model. The record is from RNAcentral.